RNAcentral lists this small RNA (33 nucleotides) under Arabidopsis thaliana (thale cress). RNAcentral's name for it is "ATSL233650". Lineage: Eukaryota; Viridiplantae; Streptophyta; Magnoliopsida; Brassicales; Brassicaceae. The record is from RNAcentral.
AUUGCACUUCAUCUGCAGAAGCUGGCUUUUUUA